CUCGCGAUCCACCCGCCUUGGCCUCCCAGAGUGCUGGGAUUACAGGCUUAAGUCACCGCGCCUGGCCAUAAGCCCUGUAACUAUUUAAAGACAAGGUGUUCACACAUCCUUUCCCAAGCUUGCUUAACUUUGGAACUUUCUUUACCCCCACAGAGCCCACUCCAGGAAGUGCUUACCUAGAGCAGUCCUCCCAUUUCACAGAUGGGACCAGGGGAGGAUGGGAACCCAUGCAGCUUCUAAAAUUGGCCGCCUUCUUGAGUCCCCCACAUCCCUAGGGGACUUAGAACUACUCCCCACCUGUUCCCAGGGCUUAGAGAAAUUGUGUCUGGCUGCAGCUGUGAUGUGUGGAAGAAAGGACAUCUGUCUCCUCCUUUUCAGGGGAUGGGGGUAAAUGGAGUAGGGGGUGGGGAAGGGAGAACUAGGCCUCUUGAAAGGGAGGAAUAAUUUCACAGAGUAGAAGAUCAAGACAGCUGGGCAGCGCCCCCGCCACCCCGCCCAAGAACGCUUUAUGCCUCCCAGGUCUUAGCAGGGACCACCCAGAUGACCUCUCAGGAAGCCAAGUCCCAGCCCUAACAUCGAAUCCUGCAGUUGUUAGGCCUAAAGAGACACUAUCCCUGGCCUCAGUUUCCCAAUUUGCAAAUGGCUCCUUUCUGAAAAUGAAAUCCCUUCCAGUGACAAACUCCCCAGGACCCCAGGCCCAUCAUAGCCUGAGCUGCAUUCCAAGGGAUCUGGGGAAGGAGCUCUAGCACCAUCCAGUUUUCUGGGGGCAUACGGUGAGGUCAGCCCAGGAGAGGAGAGGGGUUGGGAAGCAGCUGCCGUCUGCCCCUACCCACCCUGGCCCCCAGGCAAUCCAUUUUCCACUGGGUCCUGGUUCCUUAUCCACAAAGUGGAUCGAGGUCCCUUGUAGCGCCCAGAAUGGAUCUUCACCUCUAAGGAUUCCCUUUUCCUAACAGUGUCAGGGAUGGCACCAACCUGCUCACAUUCAGGGAGUUAACUCCUGUAGGGGCUUGAGAAAGGUGAUCCUCUCCCAUCCUCUAAAUGUGGGGGAGGACUGAUUAGCCCCCUAUCCCCUGGCAUCACUGGGAUUCCCAUGGUCCUGCAAGAGCUGGAUGGAAGGCUGCAGAGAAGGAAGCCAGGAAAAGCCCCUCCCAGCACCCCCUUAUACGCCAUUCCAGGACUUUGUCCUCCCAGCCCUGAACCCAGCCAAUGCAGCUGUUCUCCAGAUUCAGACAAAGACCUGACACUUCUUCCAACCGGGCCGAGCUGGGCAGUCUGUGGACGGGUGAUGGAGUCGGUGUGGCACAGAGAGAGGCCAGGGAGAGCCAGCGCCGGUAGAGUCUGCAUGGCUCGUCCUCGGCUCCACGCCCUCCGUGCGAAGACCGGACUGAGAUAGCCACGUUCUGUGGGGCCCAGUCUGGCCCUCGGCAGCUCUCCCCCUCCCACUCUGCUCCUCAGCCACAUGCCCUUGGGCUGAGCUAAGUCCAGAACCCGGCUGAGUAGGGGAAUUGUUCUGAGAAAGUGGCCCGUUGGCUGGUUGCUAUGGAAACCGACAUACCACAGAGCUGACCCCGGAGAGGUUUAGCACGCUCCCCCAGCAGGGAUGCCAGCAGCUGGACUGCAGCUGUUACCGCGGGAGUGGGGGCUGGAGCUGUCGCCAGAAGUCCCUGCUGUUUGCCUAAACUAGGUCCGCCAGCAGAUCCCCUCCAUUAGCUCCCACCCCGCUCCUCCUCAUGCGGCCUCCCCUACUGCUAUGGAUGGGAAGGGAGCUGCGGAGCCUGCCCUGGCAGGAUGGGGGUGGGGUAGGAUGGGGGUGGGGUGGGGUGGGGUAGGGGAGGUUGGCUCUAGAGAGAGGAGGUCUCCUUUAUGAACCAAGGCACAUCCUUGAAGGGUAGGGCAAUGUCCUACCCUUUGCAAUGUCCUACCCAUUGCAUUUCUGGGGAAACUGAGGCCCAAGGAAAAAUAGGAAUUGUUCCCCAGUCACACAAUCAGGGCAUGCUAGAGCUGGGGUUGGCACCCAGCUGAGUCUAGAGGCACCACACCACUGGUUCUGGCCCUCUGUGCUGUGCUCUUGGCCCUCCCUGCAGCAAUUCAGCACACACUAUGGAGCCUGCCCAGUGCAGACAGCAGCAUUGAACCAGCAUCACUCCUGACACAACCUCGGGGAGGGCGGGGGCGCACCGAUGACUGAACAAAAGGAGCACCAGGAAACAGAUCAUAGAAAUAGAAAGAGGAACACGUAGAGAGGAAAAGGAGGGUGUGUGAGUCGGGGAGCAGGAGGGUACGUGUGGGAGAGGGAAACAGAGAGGUAAGGAGAGGCAGAGAAAGUUACAGAAAGAAAAAAGAGAGGUGAUGAGGUGCCCAGAAUGAGUGGAAAGAAAGGAUAAGAUCACCUCCCUCCCCCAGCGAGCUCCGAGCCCCUCCCAGCGCAAAGCCUGUGGGGUAGAGAGAGGAUUGCAUCAGAAAGGAGAAGGAGGGAGGAAGGGUGGGAGGGCUGAUUGGGGGAGCAGGGCAAAGGUGGAGUGGGUAUUACAAUCUGUUUCUGGGAGGCAUCUCCUGCCAUCCCACAAUGCCUCAAGCUCCCUGAGUGGCCUAGCACAAACACACCAGCCUGCCUCCCACCGUGACGUGGCACUUCUAGACUCAGGAGGGCUAAUCUGCAAUGGGACGCUAAGCAAACACCCCCUCAGUCAGAGAGAUGAGAUAGCACUACCCUCCCUGAGUGCCUGACCAGUCCUCCAUCCUCACGCGUGGCUGCCAGAACACAAGCUUCCUUUCAUUCCUCAUGGUCUGUUCUGACCCUCAUCCCCACCUCUCCAGAGUCAUCACUCCUUCCGGCCCAAGGGGAGACGCAGCUGCGGAAAGAACCCCCCGCCGCCUCCACUGCGCCACUGUCUGGCCCCUACUCUUCAGCCCUUCCUCAUCUAGAGCUGGAUCUGACACCAAAGGCGUCUUGUGAGCAGUGUCAUGAUCGAGAAUGAAUACUCUGGACUUGGUGGCUGGCUCCUUGUGAAGAAGAAUUCCAUCAGAUUCCAUUUGAUUAACCUGCAUUGAGAUCCUAAUACAUGUCCGACACUAUGCAGAAAUACUUCACUCCCUCUUCCGUGGCAGACCACGAUGAACUAGGGUUUGCUGUUUUCACGGCUUCUGUCACUGUUGGAGCUGAGACUGAGGCUGCAGCAGGAGCUCCUCUGGCCCCAAGGCAAGAGACAUGUUCUCUGCAUCCCCAGAGGACCCACAGCAACUUCUGGUUUGGGUUAAAGAGGACUUGGGUGACCCCACCCUGCCAGUCAUCCACCCUCUGGCAGCCAGGGCAGCAGCAGGGGAGAGGGCAGGAGGGCCACAGUGCUGCUCUCCCCUGCCAUUUCCUCUGCAGCUCCCUCUCUGGCCCUGUUUUUCAGACCUCUAGUAAUAAAAACAAGCCAAUAAAAUGAACAUGAAAAUAUAUUCAUUAGGAUUUAUAAUGCUCAUUAAAACUGCCUGUGUACGAAAGCAUGACUUAGCUUCAUAUAAGUGGGAAAAAAAUGCAAAUUAUACUGCAUGCAAAGAAGAUAUUUCCCUAAUCGUCCAAUCAAAUGCCAGCCCAAUUAUCUGUGGCCAACCCAAUGGGUUAAAAUUAUACUCUCUUUCCUUGGACACAGUGAGGCGCCUGAAAGUGUUUCAUUUUAAUAAAAAUGAAAUCUGGACCCUGCAGAAAACCAGCUUCACUAAUGACGUGUUUACACAGAGAAAGACAAUUUCUAGUUAAUGGUGAUUACUACCGAGAACAAAUUAAACUUCCCGGAGUAUAUGGGUUAGAGAUAAUGGGAAAGAGGGGGAAAAAGUUAUGGUUUUAGUAUGUGUGUGGUGCUUGAGGGGACAGGGUGACAGGAAGAAAGAAGCUAAGGAAAGUCUACGAGGAAGCUGAGGAUGCAGGGGUGCUGGGGUGGGUGUGGCAGGAAAAAGCUUUGGUGACUGGCUGCACUGGUUCUACCAGGGUUGGGGCCUGACAAUAAGGCAGUAGGGGGCUGGCAGCUGGCUCUGGCGUCCUAAAACCCCAGGGAUGGCCAUCUUCAACUGCGGCAGGGCUGAAUUCUUUCUGCAAGCUCAGGUGCCCUGAAGCCUGCCACUUUUCCUUCUUGGGAAGCAGGUUAACAAAUCCCUGCCAUUAACAGUCACUGAAAGUGCUUCCUACUCCACACCACUGGCUUAGUGAUGAGACCAGAGGCAGGCCUGAGCCUCCAAGCUCUCAUGCAAAGCCUAAGUGAGCAGACAAGCUUCAGAGGGGCAGCAAAAUGGAAGCAAAACAGACAGGAGACAGAAUGCUAGAGAGACAAUGACGAGGAAAAUGGCAACCUAAAUUUACCUGCCGUUUACCAAGUCCUUGCCAUACGGCGGGUACUAUUCUAAAAUGUCACCCCUUUUCAUCCUUACCCGUGGGCAGGAUAAUCAGCUGCUGCUGCUUCAUUUUUGCAGCGGGCAAACUGAGGCUGAGAGAAGUUACUAACUGCCCAAUGUCAGAUUCUUAGUAAGUGAAGAAGUUGGAUUUCAAAUCCAGAUUUGUUUGAUUGCGAAGCCCGUACUCCUAACCGUUGCUGGAAUAAACAUGGAGGUAUCCUAUCAGGAUCGGGCAGGCCUUGAAAACAGCCUCCAGCUCACUGGCCGGACCCUGCACUCGACUUCUGUGGCCACUGGAGGCUGGUUUGACCAUUGGAGGCCAUGAAGAUGUUCUUUCAACAGCAUAAUCUCAGAAAGUACCAGAUGGUUCCUGCUUCCCCUCUCCCUCUCCCCUACCUCCUAAGAGCAGGUGAGCCAGUGGGGACAGCGAGGAGGGAAGGGAGCAGGGAUUCCUCUAGUGCUGAGUUUUAAUGUAUAUUCUUUUGUAAACAAGAACAAUCAUUCGUGAACAGGCCCAGAUGCAAACAGUCCCCAAAUCAGGAAUUCCAGCUCAGAGGCGCAGAAUAAUACAGCUUUGGGGAAGAUUUAAUAAUAGUAAAAUUAAAAUUGUAACUGAAGCAUAAUGAAGAAUGUGGUACAAACAAGCACUGCAAAGAAAAAAACAACAACAACAACAAAAAAGCAAACCCUACACAGAUUAGCCCCUAUGGAAUAGUGAUUGGUUGAGAGCAACAGUAAACAAUGCACAGAAAUGCAACUUAAUUAUCUCGCAAUUCUCAACAUUCUACCAAAGCCACAAGGAAAGCUUUGAUGUUGGCAGCCGAGACAGAGGCGCUGCAGUGGAAGCAGCAGCUUCUCUCUCCCCUGCUCCUGGAGGAAGAUCAUUACUAAGAAAUCUGCAGCCACUACAGCAGCUGAGCCAGAGAAGAGCAGCAGGACUGAUCUGCUGAGAAACUAGGAAGUGG
Chlorocebus sabaeus (green monkey) is the source of this 5339-nucleotide long non-coding RNA. RefSeq lists it as uncharacterized. The record is from RefSeq and is a predicted model, not a curated record. Lineage: Eukaryota; Metazoa; Chordata; Mammalia; Primates; Cercopithecidae.